RNAcentral lists this ribosomal RNA (477 nucleotides) under uncultured bacterium. Its description in RNAcentral is "partial 16S ribosomal RNA". It matches the Rfam family "Bacterial small subunit ribosomal RNA", at positions 28 to 507 of the family's 1533-position model. The record is from RNAcentral.
GAUGAACGCUAGCGGCAGGCCUAACACAUGCAAGUCGAGGGAGAAGCCCUUUCGGGGGCAGAAACCGGCGCACGGAUGCGUAACUCGUAUGCAACCUACCUUUCACAGGGGGAUAGUACGACGAAAUUUGGAGUAAUACUCAUAAUAUCAUUGGAUGGCUUCAAUUGAUAGUUAAAACGGCGGUGGGGAAAGAUGGGCAUGCGUCCUAGUAGCUAGUGGGAGUGGUAACGGCACCCCAAGGCUACGAUAGGUAGGGGUCAUGAGAGGGAGAUCCCCCACACUGGAACUGAGACAGGGACCAGAAUCCUACGGGAGGCAGCAGUGAGGAAGAUUGGGCAAUGGUCGGAAGACUGAACCAGCCAUGCCGCGUGCAGGAAGAAUGCCUUAUGGGUUGUAAACUGCUUUUAUAUGGGAAGAAUAAGGUGUACGUGUACAUUGAUGACGGUACCAUAUGAAUAAGCAUCGGCUAACUCCGUG